GUGGGGAAUAUUGGACAAUGGGCGAAAGCCUGAUCCAGCCAUGCCGCGUGUGUGAAGAAGGUCUUCGGAUUGUAAAGCACUUUAAGUUGGGAGGAAGGGCAGUAAGUUAAUACCUUGCUGUUUUGACGUUACCGACAGAAUAAGCACCGGCUAACUUCGUGUCAGCAGCCGCGGUAAUACGAAGGGUGCAAGCGUUAAUCGGAAUUACUGGGCGUAAAGCGCGCGUAGGUGGUUUUGUAAGUUGGAGGUGAAAUCCCCGGGCUCAACCUGGGAACUGCCUCCAAAACUGCAUGACUAGAGUACGGUAGAGGGUAGUGGAAUUUCCUGUGUAGCGGUGAAAUGCGUAGAUAUAGGAAGGAACACCAGUGGCGAAGGCGACUACCUGGACUGAUACUGACACUGAGGUGCGAAAGCGUGGGGAGCAAACAGGAUUAGAAACCCCUGUAGUCC
Molecule: ribosomal RNA, 450 nt
Filed under: uncultured bacterium
Lineage: Bacteria
Description: partial 16S ribosomal RNA
Rfam family: Bacterial small subunit ribosomal RNA
Source: RNAcentral